AAUAUUGGACAAUGGGGGCAACCCUGAUCCAGCCAUGCCGCGUUUUUGAAGAAGGUCUUCGGAUUGUAAAGCACUUUAUGUUGGGAAGAAGGGCUUUAGGUUAAUACCCUGAAGUUUUGACGUUAUUAACAGAAUAAGCUCCGGCUAACUCUGUGUCAGCAGCCGCGGUAAUACAGAGGGUGCAAGGUUUAAUCGGAAUUACUGGGCGUAAGGCGAGCGUAGGUGGUUCAGUAAGAUGGGUGUGAAAUCCCCGGGCUUAACCUGGGAACUGCUUUCAUAACUGCUGAGCUAGAGUACGGUAGAGGGUAGUGGAAUUUCCUGUGUAGCGGUGAAAUGCGUAGAUAUAGGAAGGAACACCAGUGGCGAAGGCGACUACCUGGACUGAUACUGACACUGAGGUGCGAAAGCGUGGGGAGCAAACA
Molecule: ribosomal RNA, 422 nt
Filed under: uncultured bacterium
Lineage: Bacteria
Description: partial 16S ribosomal RNA
Rfam family: Bacterial small subunit ribosomal RNA
Source: RNAcentral